GUAGAGCACCGGUCUCCAAAACCGGGUGUUGGGAGUUCGAGUCUCUCCGCCCCUGCCA
This 58-nucleotide transfer RNA is filed under the name Erwinia amylovora LA635. Its description in RNAcentral is "tRNA-Trp (CCA) (tRNA-Trp-CCA-1-1)". It matches the Rfam family "tRNA", at positions 18 to 71 of the family's 71-position model. From Rfam's summary of the family: Transfer RNA (tRNA) molecules are approximately 80 nucleotides in length. Their secondary structure includes four short double-helical elements and three loops (D, anti-codon, and T loops). RNAcentral also lists the same sequence under 2 other names. The record is from RNAcentral. Lineage: Bacteria; Pseudomonadati; Pseudomonadota; Gammaproteobacteria; Enterobacterales; Erwiniaceae.